ACGAGAGAGCUUGCUCUCUUGGUGGCGAGUGGCGGACGGGUGAGUAAUAUAUCGGAACGUGCCCAGUAGCGGGGGAUAACUACUCGAAAGAGUGGCUAAUACCGCAUACGCCCUACGGGGGAAAGGGGGGGAUCGCAAGACCUCUCACUAUUGGAGCGGCCGAUAUCGGAUUAGCUAGUUGGUGGGGUAAAGGCUCACCAAGGCAACGAUCCGUAGCUGGUUUGAGAGGACGACCAGCCACACUGGGACUGAGACACGGCCCAGACUCCUACGGGAGGCAGCAGUGGGGAAUUUUGGACAAUGGGGGAAACCCUGAUCCAGCCAUCCCGCGUGUAUGAUGAAGGCCUUCGGGUUGUAAAGUACUUUUGGCAGAGAAGAAAAGGCAUCCCCUAAUACGGGAUGCUUGCUGACGGUAUCUGCAGAAUAAGCACCGGCUAACUACCGUGGCCAGCCAGCCCGCGGGUUAAUACGUUAGGGGUGCCAAGCGGUUUAAUCCGGRAA
Molecule: ribosomal RNA, 501 nt
Filed under: Alcaligenes sp.
Lineage: Bacteria; Pseudomonadati; Pseudomonadota; Betaproteobacteria; Burkholderiales; Alcaligenaceae
Description: bacterial SSU rRNA
Rfam family: Bacterial small subunit ribosomal RNA
Source: RNAcentral